RNAcentral lists this ribosomal RNA (248 nucleotides) under uncultured bacterium. RNAcentral's name for it is "partial 16S ribosomal RNA". It matches the Rfam family "Bacterial small subunit ribosomal RNA", at positions 796 to 1041 of the family's 1533-position model. The record is from RNAcentral.
CACGCUGUAAACGAUGCCAACUGGAUGCCUGUGGUCCGAAAGGAUUGUGGGUGUCGGAGCUAACGCGGUAAGUUGGCCGCCUGGGGAGUACGGUCGCAAGGCUAAAACUCAAAGGAAUUGACGGGGGCCCGCACAAGCAGCGGAGCGUGUGGUUUAAUUCGAGGCUACACGAAGAACCUUACCUGGGUUUGACAUCACGGUGGUAGGGACCUGAAAGGGAACCGACCGCAAGGAGCCGUGACAGGUGC